CUGGGCUUAGUGGCUGUUUAUUUGGACUUAAUUACCAAGGAGAGUGGAAACCCUACAGCUUCCGAAGACAGAGCCCUUUCAGGCUGGGGCGAAGCAGGAACAAUGGCUGAGACGGUUCGGGGGAGGCAUUUGACGCUUCUCCUGGUGGUCCACGUUUGUUCUGUCGAGUCUCAGAAGUUGAUGAGACCGAAAUGUUGGAUUAAGAAAGGUACAGAGACGAGCAACGCGACAUUCAGACACCCAGGUUCACAGCAAUGAGUACCAGCUAGACUGAGUUCAAAUCUUCGGUCUGUGAUGGCUGCUUUCCCCCACAGCUGGGUCAGUCCGUGCAGAAAAUGCUUCUCAGCGUCCUCGCUGAGGUUUCUGCGGCUAAUAAAAAACUGUUCGACAUCGUCACAUGGAAGGUGGCUACCAAAAAAAAAAAAAAAAAA
This is a non-coding RNA of Poecilia reticulata (guppy), 431 nucleotides long. Lineage: Eukaryota; Metazoa; Chordata; Actinopteri; Cyprinodontiformes; Poeciliidae. The record is from RefSeq and is a predicted model, not a curated record.